RNAcentral lists this transfer RNA (72 nucleotides) under Camelus bactrianus (Bactrian camel). It matches the Rfam family "tRNA". Rfam says of the family: Transfer RNA (tRNA) molecules are approximately 80 nucleotides in length. RNAcentral also lists the same sequence under 1 other name. The record is from Rfam by way of RNAcentral. Lineage: Eukaryota; Metazoa; Chordata; Mammalia; Artiodactyla; Camelidae.
GAGGGUGUAGCUCAGUGGUAGAGCAUAUGCUUAGCAUGCACAAGGUCCUAGGUUCAAUCCCCAGUUCUUCCA